This 72-nucleotide transfer RNA is filed under the name Metarhizium acridum CQMa 102. Its description in RNAcentral is "tRNA-Ala (AGC) (tRNA-Ala-AGC-2-1)". It matches the Rfam family "tRNA". From Rfam's summary of the family: Transfer RNA (tRNA) molecules are approximately 80 nucleotides in length. Their secondary structure includes four short double-helical elements and three loops (D, anti-codon, and T loops). Lineage: Eukaryota; Fungi; Ascomycota; Sordariomycetes; Hypocreales; Clavicipitaceae. The record is from RNAcentral.
GGGCGGAUGGUUUAGUGGUAUAAUACUCCCUUAGCAUGGGAGUGGUCCAGGGUUCGAUUCCCUGUUCGUCCA